UACGAAGGGUGCAAACGUUGCUCGGAAUUACUGGGCGUAAAGCGUGCGUAGACGGCUAUCUAAGUCGGGUGUGAAAGCCCCCGGCUCAACUGGGGAGGGUCACGCGAUACUGAUCGACUCGAAGGCAGGAGAGGGUAGUGGAAUUCCCGGUGUAGUGGUGAAAUGCGUAGAUAUCGGGAGGAACACCAGUGGCGAAGGCGACUACCUGGCCUGUUCUUGACGCUGAGGCGCGAAAGCUAGGGGAGCAAACGGG
RNAcentral lists this ribosomal RNA (253 nucleotides) under uncultured bacterium. RNAcentral's name for it is "partial 16S ribosomal RNA". It matches the Rfam family "Bacterial small subunit ribosomal RNA", at positions 524 to 776 of the family's 1533-position model. The record is from RNAcentral.